AGUGAACGCUGGCGGUAGGCCUAACACAUGCAAGUCGAACGGCAGCACAGUAAGAGCUUGCUCUUACGGGUGGCGAGUGGCGGACGGGUGAGGAAUACAUCGGAAUCUACUUUUUCGUGGGGGAUAACGUAGGGAAACUUACGCUAAUACCGCAUACGACCUACGGGUGAAAGCAGGGGAUCUUCGGACCUUGCGCGAUUGAAUGAGCCGAUGUCGGAUUAGCUAGUUGGCGGGGUAAAGGCCCACCAAGGCGACGAUCCGUAGCUGGUCUGAGAGGAUGAUCAGCCCCCCUGGAACUGAGGCACGGUCCAGACUCCUACGGGAGGCAGCAGUGGGGAAUAUUGGACAAUGGGCGCAAGCCUGAUCCAGCCAUACCGCGUGGGUGAAGAAGGCCUUCGGGUUUUAAAGCCCUUUUGUUGGGAAAGAAAAGCAGCAGGUUAAUACCCCGCUGUUCUGACGGUACCCAAAGAAUAAGCACCGGCUAACUUCGUG
RNAcentral lists this ribosomal RNA (492 nucleotides) under uncultured bacterium. RNAcentral's name for it is "partial 16S ribosomal RNA". It matches the Rfam family "Bacterial small subunit ribosomal RNA", at positions 29 to 507 of the family's 1533-position model. The record is from RNAcentral.